Molecule: ribosomal RNA, 497 nt
Filed under: uncultured bacterium
Lineage: Bacteria
Description: partial 16S ribosomal RNA
Rfam family: Bacterial small subunit ribosomal RNA
Source: RNAcentral
GAUGAACGCUGGCGGCGUGCCUAAUACAUGCCAGUCGAGCGAACAGACUAGGAGCUUGCUCCUCUUACGUUAGCGGCGGACGGGUGAGUAACACGUGGAUAACCUACCUAUAAGACUGGGAUAACUUCGGGAAACCGGAGCUAAUACCGGAUAAUAUCUUUAACCGCAUGGUUCAAUAGUGAAAGACGGUUUUGCUUUCACUUAUAGAUGUAUCCGCGCCGCAUUAGCUAGUUGGUAAGGUAACGGCUUACCAAGGCAACGAUGAGUAGCCGACCGGAGAGGGUGAUCGGCAACACUGGAACUGAGAAACGGCCAAGACUCCUACGGGAGGCAGCAGUAGGGAAUCUUCGGCAAUGGGCGAAGGCCGGACGGAGCAAGGCCGCGUGAGGGAUGAAGGUCUUCGGAUCGUAAAACUCUGUUAUAAGGGAAGAACAAAUGUGUAAGUAAAAAUGCACGUCUUGACGGUACCUAAUCAGAAAGCCACGGCUAACUACGUG